CGAACGAGACUCUAUCCUACUAAGCGGCGCGAGGCUAUUAGACGGCUGGAUCUUAUUUACACGCGUGUAAAAACAGAUAGAGGAGGUCAAUGCCGCUUCGGUGGCUGCUUCUUUUCGGGCACGCAAGUCCGCCGUGGCUACGCGUACGUUUUCGCGUGCCUUCGCGCAGGGGAGCGGAGUUGUGCGCUCGAUGCGUGUGUGCUAGCGUGCAAACGUGGGUGCCGCGCUCGGGUGUCUUCUCUGUCUUUUCUUCGCGCGACUGUGCGUCGCGUCUUCUUGCGCGUAGACAAACGUUGUUUCUUCUUAGAGGUAUUGACGACUCUACAUAAGUCGUACGAGAGAGAGAGCAAUAACAGGUCUGUGAUGCCCUUAGAUGCCCUGGGCCGCACGCGAGCUACAAUGCCGGGUACAGCGGGUCUAACUUCCUUCGCCGAGAGGCGCGGGUAACCCUCUGAAAUCCCUUCUUUCCGACGGGGGAGACAUCGCGCAAGCGUCUGUCUCUCUUCGUUAGUCGGCUCGAUUGGGCCUGGGGCUUGCAAUUAUCUCCCACAAACGAGGAAUGCCUUGUAUUGGCUAGUCACUGAGCUUGCAGCGACUCAGUCCCUGCCCUUUGUACACACCGCCCGUCGCUACUACCGAUUGAGUGUACCAGUGAGAUUCUUGGACUGGCGAACCAUCUUUUCUUUCGAGAUACAGACGGCGAACGACGGAAAGAGACCCGAACUGGUGCACUUAGAGGAAGUAAAA
Molecule: ribosomal RNA, 747 nt
Filed under: Leucothoe nagatai
Lineage: Eukaryota; Metazoa; Arthropoda; Malacostraca; Amphipoda; Leucothoidae
Description: partial small subunit ribosomal RNA
Rfam family: Eukaryotic small subunit ribosomal RNA
Source: RNAcentral